GACGAACGCUGGCGGCGUGCCUAAUACAUGCAAGUCGAGCGAACAGAUGAGAAGCUUGCUUCUCUGAUGUUAGCGGCGGACGGGUGAGUAACACGUGGGUAACCUACCUAUAAGACUAGGAUAACUCCGGGAAACCGGGGCUAAUACCGGAUAAUAUUUUGAACCGCAUGGUUCGAUAGUGAAAGACGGUUUCGGCCGUCACUUAUAGAUGGACCCGCGCCGUAUUAGCUAGUUGGUAAGGUAACGGCUUACCAAGGCGACGAUACGUAGCCGACCUGAGAGGGUGAUCGGCACACUGGAACUGAGACACGGUCCAGACUCCUACGGGAGGCAGCAGUAGGGAAUCUUCCGCAAUGGGCGAAAGCCUGACGGAGCAACGCCGCGUGAGUGAUGAAGGUCUUCGGAUCGUAAAACUCUGUUGUUAGGGAAGAACAAAUUUGUUAGUAACUGAACAAGUCUUGACGGUACCUAACCAGAAAGCCACGGCUAACUACGUGCCAGCAGCCGCAGUAA
Molecule: ribosomal RNA, 513 nt
Filed under: uncultured bacterium
Lineage: Bacteria
Description: partial 16S ribosomal RNA
Rfam family: Bacterial small subunit ribosomal RNA
Source: RNAcentral